GACGAACGCUGGCGGCGUGCUUAACACAUGCAAGUCGAACGGUAAGGCCCUGCUUUUGUGGGGUGCUCGAGUGGCGAACGGGUGUGUAACACGUGUGUAACCUGCCCUUGACUUUGGUAUAACUUCAGGACACUGUGUCUAAUACCGGAUAGGAGCUCCUGCUGCAUGGUGGGGGUUGGAAAGUUUCGGCGGUUGGGGAUGGACUCGCGGCUUAUCAGCUUGUUGGUGGGGUAGUGGCUUACCAAGGCUUUGACGGGUAGCCGGCCUGAGAGGGUGACCGGCCACAUUGGGACUGAGAUACGGCCCAGACUCCUACGGGAGGCAGCAGUGGGGAAUAUUGCACAAUGGGCGGAAGCCUGAUGCAGCAACGCCGCGUGCGGGAUGACGGCCUUCGGGUUGUAAACCGCUUUCGCUUGUGACGAAGCGAGAGUGACGGUAAUGGGUAAAGAAGCACCGGCUAACUACGUG
This 468-nucleotide ribosomal RNA is filed under the name uncultured bacterium. RNAcentral describes it as "partial 16S ribosomal RNA". It matches the Rfam family "Bacterial small subunit ribosomal RNA", at positions 28 to 507 of the family's 1533-position model. The record is from RNAcentral.